Molecule: long non-coding RNA, 578 nt
Organism: Macrosteles quadrilineatus (aster leafhopper)
Lineage: Eukaryota; Metazoa; Arthropoda; Insecta; Hemiptera; Cicadellidae
Exons: 3
Source: RefSeq, a predicted model, not a curated record
UGAAGUGAAGGAUAACGGCAUUGAAAAUUAAUUAAUCUUGUCAAUAGUCCGGCUGGUGUUGACAGAAGAUAAAGAGGAACAAUAAUUAUUAAUAAAUUGUAAACAUCAAAAAAUUCCAAAACUAUUGAGGUGUUGAAAUCCAGUAAAUUUUCUUGUAAAGCUUGGAGCAUUGCAAAUGUUUGGUGUUAAUGUAUGAGAGUACUUCACAUGUAAACAAUAUUGAUGAAGUUGUCUGCUUAUUUGGGGCCAAAUAAGAAGGAGAGAAAUUUUCUUGGAAAAGAAUCGAAAGCAAUAAAGAUAAUGCUGCGAUUGGCAUUUUGGACAUUUGUGCUGUGUAUGUGGAUGUAUUGGCAAGCCUGCGCUGGAAAUUCGGCACAAAUCGGCUGUGUUUACAUCCGGUUUAGAGCAUUCAAAACGGUGCCGCCAAUUGAGACUGCCGUCGCCUGUGAAGUUUGCGCUGUACCGGUAAUUAGAUUUUUAAGUGCUAAAGGUGUGAAAGCCAUUUAAAUUCAUUGACAGAUUAGUGAAGUGUAUGGGGAGAAAAUUAUGAGUGGCGGAAUUGUACCUACGCAGGUGGG